Molecule: ribosomal RNA, 501 nt
Filed under: uncultured bacterium
Lineage: Bacteria
Description: partial 16S ribosomal RNA
Rfam family: Bacterial small subunit ribosomal RNA
Source: RNAcentral
AUUGAACGCUGGCGGCAGGCUUAACACAUGCAAGUCGAGCGGGGGAGGGUAGCUUGCUACCGGACCUAGCGGCGGACGGGUGAGUAAUGCUUAGGAAUCUGCCUAUUAGUGGGGGACAACAUUCCGAAAGGAAUGCUAAUACCGCAUACGUCCUACGGGAGAAAGCAGGGGAUCUUCGGACCUUGCGCUAAUAGAUGAGCCUAAGUCGGAUUAGCUAGUUGGUGGGGUAAAGGCCUACCAAGGCGACGAUCUGUAGCGGGUCUGAGAGGAUGAUCCGCCACACUGGGACUGAGACACGGCCCAGACUCCUACGGGAGGCAGCAGUGGGGAAUAUUGGACAAUGGGGGGAACCCUGAUCCAGCCAUGCCGCGUGUGUGAAGAAGGCCUUAUGGUUGUAAAGCACUUUAAGCGAGGAGGAGGCUAUUCUAGUUAAUACCUAGGGAUAGUGGACGUUACUCGCAGAAUAAGCACCGGCUAACUCUGUGCCAGCCGCCGCCGUAA